GUGGGGGAUAUUGCACAAUGGGGGAAACCCUGAUGCAGCGACGCCGCGUGUGGGAAGACGGUCCUCUGGAUUGUAAACCACUGUCCCCAGGGACGAAAAUGACGGUACCUGGGGAGGAAGCUCCGGCUAACUACGUGCCAGCAGCCGCGGUAAUACGUAGGGAGCGAGCGUUGUCCGGAAUUACUGGGUGUAAAGGGAGCGUAGGCGGGGAUGCAAGUUGGGUGUCAAAACUACCGGCUCAACUGGUAGUCGCACUCAAAACUGCAGCUCUUGAGUGAAGUAGAGGCAGGCGGAAUUCCUAGUGUAGCGGUGAAAUGCGUAGAUAUUAGGAGGAACACCAGUGGCGAAGGCGGCCUGCUGGGCUUUUACUGACGCUGAGGCUCGAAAGUGUGGGGAGCAAACAGGA
Molecule: ribosomal RNA, 406 nt
Filed under: uncultured bacterium
Lineage: Bacteria
Description: bacterial SSU rRNA
Rfam family: Bacterial small subunit ribosomal RNA
Source: RNAcentral